GUGUUGGAUAGUUUUGUUUAAUCUUGAUUAUUGUUAUACUUACACAAUUAACUAAUUAAAAUUGUCACAUGGUGUCUUCUUAUGUCAUAUAAAUUACAAUUUAUGUUAUUAUUCACAGUUCUGUAGUUUAUUUCGCCAUCGCCAUCUGUAUUUAUAUUAAAUGAUUGUCUAAAAUGUUAACUUGGCAUGCCAUACUUGGUAGAAAUGCGGACGUGAAAGAAAGCACUUUUCACAAAAGUGUCAUCGGAGAUUAAAACAUUCCAGGGCGACGAUUUCGUCAAUUAUGAAACAAAAUAAGUAUAUGUACUGUUUGAGUAUGAACCAGUUAUUAUAUUCAUUCACAAUUACGUUCCCAGAAUUUCUCUGAAGUUUGUCACAGUUCCGUCUAAUUUGGGUCAAAUUUCGACGGUCUGCUAAAAUGUCAC
This 425-nucleotide long non-coding RNA is filed under the name Mytilus galloprovincialis (Mediterranean mussel). Lineage: Eukaryota; Metazoa; Mollusca; Bivalvia; Mytilida; Mytilidae. The record is from RNAcentral.